Molecule: transfer RNA, 74 nt
Filed under: Chrysemys picta bellii (western painted turtle)
Lineage: Eukaryota; Metazoa; Chordata; Testudines; Emydidae
Description: tRNA-Thr (AGT) (tRNA-Thr-AGT-4-1)
Rfam family: tRNA
About the family: Transfer RNA (tRNA) molecules are approximately 80 nucleotides in length. Their secondary structure includes four short double-helical elements and three loops (D, anti-codon, and T loops). Further hydrogen bonds mediate the characteristic L-shaped molecular structure. tRNAs have two regions of fundamental functional importance: the anti-codon, which is responsible for specific mRNA codon recognition, and the 3' end, to which the tRNAs corresponding amino acid is attached (by aminoacyl-tRNA synthetases). tRNAs cope with the degeneracy of the genetic code in two manners: having more than one tRNA (with a specific anti-codon) for a particular amino acid; and 'wobble' base-pairing, i.e. permitting non-standard base-pairing at the 3rd anti-codon position.
Source: Rfam by way of RNAcentral
GGUGCCAUGGCUUAGCUGGCUAAAGUACCUGUCUAGUAAACAGGAGAUCCUGGGUUCAACUCCCAGUGGUGCCU